RNAcentral lists this ribosomal RNA (406 nucleotides) under uncultured archaeon. RNAcentral's name for it is "bacterial SSU rRNA". It matches the Rfam family "Archaeal small subunit ribosomal RNA", at positions 321 to 727 of the family's 1478-position model. The record is from RNAcentral.
CCCUAUGGGGUGCAGCAGGCGCGAAAACUUUACAAUGCUGGCAACAGCGAUAAGGGAACCUCGAGUGCCAGGUUACAAAUCUGGCUGUCGAGAUGCCUAAAAAGCAUUUCAUAGCAAGGGCCGGGCAAGACCGGUGCCAGCCGCCGCGGUAACACCGGCGGCUCGAGUGGUAACCGUUAUUAUUGGGUCUAAAGGGUCUGUAGCCGGCCGGAUAAGUCUCUUGAGAAAUCUGGCAGCUUAACUGUCAGGCUUUCAGGAGAUACUGUCUGGCUCGAGGCCGGGAGAGGUGAGAGGUACUUCAGGGGUAGGGGUGAAAUCUUGUAAUCCUUGAAGGACCACCAGUGGCGAAGGCGUCUCACCAGAACGGACCUGACGGCAAGGGACGAAAGCUAGGGGCACGAACCGG